Long non-coding RNA from Chlorocebus sabaeus (green monkey), 977 nucleotides. RefSeq lists it as uncharacterized. Lineage: Eukaryota; Metazoa; Chordata; Mammalia; Primates; Cercopithecidae. The record is from RefSeq and is a predicted model, not a curated record.
AUAAAAAUAGUUAUUAAUUUUAUAUAGGAAGAAUUUUCAUAUAUGAAUAAUCAACAGAUUGAAUACUCCAAUAAAAAUGGAUAAAAAGCCAGCAGAUCAUUCAGUAAAAACUACAGAUGGUCAUUAAACUUUAGAGAAAAAAAUCAAUCUCACUUAUAAUAAUAACACAAAUGUAAACAAUGAGACUCUAUUUUGCCUUCCUAAUUGAUAAAGAUAAGGGAGGGUGGGGAGUAAUACCACUAUAGUAAUUACUAUUUUUAAUAUAAUGACCAUAUAUUAGCAUUAUGAUAAGAACACAGUGCAAAAAACCAAUAUUGAAAACAAAAUUGACGUCUUUGCUCUCCUUUCUUGGCUGGGUUAUUCAUUCAUUUAUUUGGGUAAUACAUAUUGGGCAAUAUCUCCCUUCCAAGCAAUGUGCAGUGCUGACUCACUGUCAAACCAUUUUGAGUGGUUCGAUGUGUGUGGCUGGAGGAUUGAGGGUGAGGAGAGAAAGACAGACCAAGUCUUAUUUACAGCCCAGUGCGAUAAGCAUUGGGAGUUGUAUAGAGAACACCAUCCGUGGUUGCAGAGAAGCCCUAUCACAGUGGGGCCAGGAAACAGUGGGAGGAGGAGCUUGAGCUAAGGAUAGGUAUAUUUCAGUUUAUCAAUGAAUGAUUUACUAAACAGGAAUCGCUGAGUUCUCACUGACUCCAUUGGCCCCCGUAGAUCCUAAAUUUCUUUGAAAAUGGGAUGAUGGGGACCUUUUCUCCAGCUUCAGGUGCCUUAAUGUCUUAGGGCUUCUGCAACCCGAGCCCAGACCGAAAAAAGAAAAGAGGGAAGGAAUUGUGGAUGGAAAGAGAAAGAGGAAGGGAAGAGAAAAGAGAGAGCAAGAGGUGUUUGUGGAAUUACCAUGAUUUGACCGCUGAAUGGGGCCUCAGCCCUGGAGCUUGCCAGAGCCAGGAAAUUAAAAUAAGAGGAAUGACCAAUGACCCAUAUAA